Molecule: long non-coding RNA, 1235 nt
Organism: Condylostylus longicornis
Lineage: Eukaryota; Metazoa; Arthropoda; Insecta; Diptera; Dolichopodidae
Exons: 4
Source: RefSeq, a predicted model, not a curated record
AUGUGUUUUUCAUAAAUAUAAAAUAAAAUCAUAAUUACAAUAUAUUAAUUUCAUUUAUGUAUGUAUAUUAAAAAUUCAGAGAUGUAAGCCAAAAGCUAGUAUUUUUAAAAUGCCGCACAUAAAAUAGAAGGCCAUAGUUUUAAAAAAAAUUAAUGUGAAAGUGUUUUAAAAUCAUGUGAACCAAAUGCGUAUUUGCCGUAUUGUAUAUAGAAGAAUAUUAAAAAGAAAACUUAUAUAUAAAUGAAUUUUAAAAUUUCAAUUAAUUUAGUAAAUAAUACGAAACAUGGAUAUUAAAAUUAUAAAAUUGAAAUUUAUUAAAUUGGAAAUCCAUUGAAAAAGAAAAUGGACCCUGUGCUUUUGGAGACGUUUCAGGAAACUGUUCUCUAAAAAUAUGUGGUUCGUCCAGCGACUAUUUAAACAGUGACAGCUUCAGUGUUGUACAAUAUGGGAACAGUUUUACCACAAAAAUGGGGGAAAAUAAAAUGUGAAUAUACAAUUAUUUUUAUAUUAUAUGAACCUUGAAUUUUCUAUAAAUUUUAUAAUUUAUGAAAUAAUUAUUAUUCAACAAAGAGGAUUAUUAUGAAAAAAGGAUAAUGAAUUAAUAAGAAGAAAAAAAAAAUGUGCAGAAAUAAAAUUUUACAUAAAAUACCAGAAUAAUUAUUAUGAUUUUAAUAAUUCAGAAAAACUAUAAAACGAGAAAUAAUAUAUUCAAUUAAAAUAUAAAAAAUAUAAAGAGUUUAUUUAAAAAAAAAAUUUCAAUAAAAUGGUCAUAACAAUGAAGUAUAAAAGAAAAUUAUUGAAUAAAAAUGACAAGCAGCUAAAAAAUCUGCAAAAUCAAGAUGCCAUAUAAAAUUUUUUAAAGCAAUUGAUUUAAUAAUCAUAUUAUAAAACAAUUCAAUAUAAUUAAAUAAUUUUAAAAAAUAAUUUUAUAUAAAUGUGAAAUCAUUAUUAUGAGUACUUUAAAUAUACUAAAUGCUACUGAGCAAGAAUUAAAUUCGAAUGUGUCAUGGUCAUCAUCAUUUCAAUUAUUGGCAGCAUAUUUGACAACUGAAUAUUUUAAUAAUAUAUCAUCAGUUUUAGCUGAUGAAAUUAUAUUAGAAAAUUACAACAGCAACAAUAAUAAUAAUAAUAAUAAUAAUCUUAAAAAUAAUAAUUAUAAUAAAAAUAAUAUUAAUAAUUUAACAACAAUUAUUGAUGAUUACGGUACAAUAAUUAAUACAAAAUCAAAUAAUAAU